GAUGAACGCUGGCGGCGUGCCUAAUACAUGCAAGUCGAGCGAACGGACGAGAAGCUUGCUUCUCUGAUGUUAGCGGCGGACGGGUGAGUAACACGUGGAUAACCUACCUAUAAGACUGGGAUAACUUCGGGAAACCGGAGCUAAUACCGGAUGAUAUUUUGAACCGCAUGGUUCAAAAGUGAAAGACGGUCUUGCUGUCACUUAUAGAUGGAUCCGCGCUGCAUUAGCUAGUUGGUAAGGUAACGGCUUACCAAGGCAACGAUGCAUAGCCGAGCUGAGAGGGUGAUCGGCCACACUGGAGCUGGGACACGGUCCAUACGCCUACGGGAGGCAGCAGUAGGGAAUCUUCCGCAAUGGGCGAAAGCAUGACGGAGCAACGCCGCGUGAGUGAUGAAGGUCUUCGGAUCGUAAAACUCUGUUAUUAGGGAAGAACAUAUGUGUAAGUAACUGUGCACAUCUUGACGGUACCUAAUCAGAAAGCCACGGCUAACUACGUG
RNAcentral lists this ribosomal RNA (497 nucleotides) under uncultured bacterium. Its description in RNAcentral is "partial 16S ribosomal RNA". It matches the Rfam family "Bacterial small subunit ribosomal RNA", at positions 28 to 507 of the family's 1533-position model. The record is from RNAcentral.